Molecule: long non-coding RNA, 2093 nt
Filed under: Homo sapiens (human)
Lineage: Eukaryota; Metazoa; Chordata; Mammalia; Primates; Hominidae
Description: HSALNT0172701
Source: RNAcentral
CUGGCUCCAUAUCAGAAUCACCGCGUGAGCCACUGUGCCCGGGCUCAAUGGACUAAUUUAACCUCCCUCAACUUGCCAUCGACCCCCACACUGUUCUGAGAUUUAGAUAGAGUCAUCCUCGUGUAUAGAUGCAUCACAGUCCAUGAGAAAGAUUGUUUAUCUUGCUUUCAUGGGAAGUUAAUUGCAGAUGCACUGCCAGGAUCUUUGUCUUCUUGGGGCACAGUCAUGCCACUUCCCAGUCAGAAACUUUCAACGCCUCCCCUCUGUUUUCAGAGUACAGCCCAAGCCCUUGGGCUUGGCAUUUAAGGCCUUCCGUGAUCUAUUUUCAAACUUUUUCUGUUUCAGAGCCCAAGUUUGUCCCUUGUCCUGGGUCCUCCGUUCCUUGCAUACGUUCUGCACUUUGCUCUUUUUGCAUAUGUUCCUGUUCAAUUCUGGCGUGGCUUUUCACCCAUUGCCCACCUGCUGAAAUUUCCUUAGGAUUCUGUCCACCUCACAUGGACGUGAGGGCUGUAUAAUUGUCAGAACCCUGAGCUUAUGAGGGCCCCCCACUUGGUUUAAUGUUCUGCUUUCACUGUUUUGAAAUUCUUAAUAAUUGAUGGACAAGGGUUCCCACAUUUUUUUCCCCUGUUUUGGCUUCUCAACAAAGUCCCUACUUAUUUUUUAUUUUUAUUUUUUGCUGUAGUUCCUACAGAUUAGGUAGGAGCUCCUGACUGCCACAGUAGAUCUAGGGUAGAGCCUGAGAUUUUGCAUUUCUGACAAGAUCCCAGGCGAUGCUGAUGCCUCUGGUCCUUGGAUCACACUUUGAGUAGCAAGGGUCAGUCUGAAGUAUGGUAGAGCCAACAACUUGGAAGGAACCUGAAAGACAGUACGGAGCUGAAGUCCCUGGCAGCUGAAAUACUCAUCACAAACUGUUAGGUACAACCUGGCAGCACCUUGCUUUGGGUCUGCUCCGUGGACCUUCUACUUCCUACUCCAGGUAAACCCACUGGACACUCUUGUGUGCAUAGCCAACAAAUGCAGAAAAGUUAACAAUGGUGGGGCCACCUUUGACCAAAGGGAGAUGGAAGCCAGUUGCUAGGUGCCUUUCAGUUUGGACUGCUGAUGGAGAGCACUGAGACACUUUUUAUGAUGUUCCUCUGAAGGUCCCAGUGGCAUCAGUUAUGUGGCUCUUAUGCAUGGCCAGCUGUAUAAUGUGUCCCUGUAUUGGCCUUGCUCUUCCCUGUUUUACUCCACUGUCUCACUCCUGCUCCCCGUGUUCAUUCCCCAAAUAAAAUACCUACACACAAGACUUUGUUUCCGCUUUCUUUUCAGGAGAACCCAUGCUAAGAAUUGUGGAAAGGUGGCGGAGGUGGGAAGCGGGUGCAGUGGGGAGAGUCUGCUAUUCUUUGAGGCUUUAUCACCUAGACUUAGUCUGUUAUCUGAGUGUGUAUUAGGUAAGAAACAGUAGUUAACCAGUCAUCAUUGCAGGCUGGGUCUUCUCUCCCCACACGACUUGCUUCCUUUUCCUCCCACUCUGAUGUCCUCCACAUCUGUUCAGCGGAGCUCCCUGACCCUACCUGCAGAUGCAGCACAACUUAUGGCUUGGUAUAGGAACUACUGAAGGAUCCUCAACCUCUAAUCUCUAGGCAAGCCUCCAACUACACUCUGGGGUACUAGGGAGAGUGGCACAUCCACACUUAACUCAAUAGCGAGAGACCCAAAGGCGUUGCUUCUGAUCAAGGAACUAAUUUUACAAAAAAUGAAGUAUAACGGGGUCCCAUGCUUAUGGAAUUCACUGCUCUUACCAUGUUCCCUAUCUUCCUGAAGAAGAGAGGAGGUCUCCACUGCUGAAUCUCUUGGCCUUGUUCAGUGUAUCACAGGUUCUGGAGUCAGACAAACCAGCCUGCAGUCUUGGCUCUGCACCUGUUACAUGUGUGACCUUGGAGAAGGCCUGAACACAUACCUCUAAACCUGUUUAUCCAACCGAGAACAUCAAAGGCUUCUCUGCAGUGUCAAUCCGAUAAAGCAUGUAAAGUAUAGGACACAGUCUUGCAAUUGCAGUGUAAAAGAUGGCAGCGAUUCUAGUUACUAUUCACUGGCCUUCCAUAUUCCAG